Molecule: ribosomal RNA, 496 nt
Filed under: uncultured bacterium
Lineage: Bacteria
Description: partial 16S ribosomal RNA
Rfam family: Bacterial small subunit ribosomal RNA
Source: RNAcentral
AUGAACGCUGGCGGCGUGCCUAAUACAUGCCAGUCGAGCGAACGGACGAGAAGCUUGCUUCUCUGAUGUUAGCGGCGGACGGGUGAGUAACACGUGGAUAACCUACCUAUAAGACUGGGAUAACUUCGGGAAACCGGAGCUAAUACCGGAUAAUAUUUUGAACCGCAUGGUUCAAAAGUAAAAGACGGUCUUGCUGUCACUUAAAGAUGGAUCCGCGCUGCAUUAGCUAGUUGGUAAGGUAACGGCUUACCAAGGCAACGAUGCAUAGCCGACCUGAGAGGGUGAUCGGCCACACUGGAACUGAGACACGGUCCAGACUCCUACGGGAGGCAGCAGUAGGGAAUCUUCCGCAAUGGGCGAAAGCCUGACGGAGCAACGCCGCGUGAGUGAUGAAGGUCUUCGGAUCGUAAAACUCUGUUAUUAGGGAAGAACAUAUGUGUAAGUAACUGUGCACAUCUUGACGGUACCUAAUCAGAAAGCCACGGCUAACUACGUG